UAGCGUAGGGUGCAAGCGUUGUCCGGAAUUAUUGGGCGUAAAGAGCUCGUAGGCGGUUUGUCGCGUCUGCUGUGAAAACCUAAGGCUCAACCUUGGGCUUGCAGUGGGUACGGGCAGACUAGAGUGCGGUAGGGGUGACUGGAAUUCCUGGUGUAGCGGUGGAAUGCGCCAGAUAUCGAGGAGGAACACCGAUGGCGAGC
RNAcentral lists this ribosomal RNA (200 nucleotides) under uncultured bacterium. RNAcentral describes it as "partial 16S ribosomal RNA". It matches the Rfam family "Bacterial small subunit ribosomal RNA", at positions 523 to 722 of the family's 1533-position model. The record is from RNAcentral.